RNAcentral lists this ribosomal RNA (422 nucleotides) under Amazophrynella aff. manaos2 ABGD cluster 6. RNAcentral's name for it is "partial large subunit ribosomal RNA". It matches the Rfam family "Bacterial large subunit ribosomal RNA", at positions 1835 to 2457 of the family's 2925-position model. The record is from RNAcentral. Lineage: Eukaryota; Metazoa; Chordata; Amphibia; Anura; Bufonidae.
CUUGAACCCUAUAAGAGGUCCAGCCUGCCCAGUGAAACAAUUCAACGGCCGCGGUAUCCUAACCGUGCGAAGGUAGCGUAAUCACUUGUUCUCUAAAUCAGGACUAGUAUGAACGGCACCACGAGGGUUACACUGUCUCCUUUUUCCAAUUAGUGAACUUAAUUUUCCCGUGAAGAAGCGGGAAUAAACCUAUAAGACGAGAAGACCCUAUGGAGCUUUAAACAAUCUAGCAUUUGCCUAUAUCCUUCAUGUUCCAGAACUUUCUAAAUUUCCCCACAUAAUGACUAGAAGUUUUAGGUUGGGGUGACCACGGAGUAAAACUCACCCUCCAUAAUGAAAGAACUUUGAUUCUUAACUAAGAGAUACCUGUCUAAGUAUUAAUACACUAACAUCUAUUGACCCAAUACAAUUGAUCAACGAAC